GAUAUUUAGGUAGCCCUCUCUUACUCCUGUAACUUGAUAUACCUCUUAGUACUCUCAUUCUCUUCAAUUAAAUCUCUUGUUGACAGAACCCUGCAUAUGUUCAUUAUUCAAAACUCUCCAAGAUGAUCUCUCUCAAAGAUCUCUACGAUGUGUUAGCUGCAGUUGUUCCUUUAUAUGUAACCAUGUUCUUAGCCUAUGCCUCUGUAAAAUGGUGGAAGAUCUUCACUCCUGAUCAAUGCUCUGGCAUCAAUCGCUUUGUCGCAGCCUUCGCGAUCCCCCUCCUCUCGUUCGAAUUCAUUUCGCGCAUCAACCCUUUCAAGAUGAACUUCCUCUUCAUCGGCGCCGACUCUCUCUCUAAAGCUCUCGUCCUCUUACUGCUCUUCUCCUUUGCUAAAUUCUCUUCAAAAGGAAGUUUAGAUUGGUCUAUAACUCUCUUCUCAUUAGCAACUCUUCCUAAUACUCUCGUGAUGGGUAUCCCACUUCUAAAAUCUAUGUAUGGGAAUGAGCAAGAGAGUCUCAUGAUUCAAGUAGUAGUGCUUCAGAGUAUAAUAUGGUACACUCUGCUUCUGUUUUUGUUUGAGUAUAGAGUAGCGAGGAGUAUGAUAAUGAAGAGGGUUAGUGAAGAGAGUUGUGUGGAGGAUGAAGUUGUUCAUGUUAUUGUAGCGAGACCAUCCGUUGAGCUUGAGCAGCAGAGGGUUCAGAUAGGAAGCAGGGUUGCACCGGAAUCGGGAGAGGUGGUGAAUAUUGAUAAGGAGUCAGAGGAGGAAUGUGGAAAGGAGCUUCAUAUGUUUGUUUGGAGAUGUGGGUGUUGCAACUCUGAAGGUGUCUGUGAGAAAUCAAUGAAAGUUUGUAGCAGAGAAGAAGAUAAAGAGAACGCAAAGGAGAAGCAGAAAGAACCCAAGGUUGAACUUAAAUUGAUCAUGAAGGUGGUUUGGUCUAAGCUUGUUAAGAAUCCAAAUUCAUAUGCAAGUCUCUUGGGUUUAAGCUGGGCUCUAGUUUCUGGCAGAUGGGGAAUACAGAAGCCUGCUAUACUGGAGAAUUCAGUGACAAUGUUAUCAAAUGCUGGAUUGGGAAUGGCUAUGUUUAGUUUAGGAUUGUUUAUGGCUUUGCAGCCAAGGAUAAUAGCCUGUGGAAAGAAACAGGCAACAAUUGGAAUGCUGAUAAGGUUUAUUGCUGGUCCUGCUGUAAUGGCGUUAGCUUCUAUAGCAGUUGGCAUUAGAGGCAAAACACUCAAAGUCUCCAUAGUUCAGGCUGCUUUGCCGCAAGGAAUUGUGCCUUUCGUGUUCGCGAGGGAAUAUAAUUUGCACCCUGCGGUUCUGAGCACAGCGGUUAUCUUUGGGAUGAUAGUGUCAUUGCCAGUCACCAUACUCUACUACAUCUUAUUGGGUUUGUAAUUUCUGACAAUUACAGUAGGCUGCUAGUCCUUGGAGAUUAACAAAUCACAGUGUUCGGGAUAAGGAUCUAUCCAGCAUUUGUCCGCUGCAACUGCUCUAUUCCAUCUUCGUCUGAAGAUCUCUUGUUCAGCAUAAGACCGUCGUCUCACCUACAUCGACCAAGAGCAAUAUAUAUAUA
Molecule: RNA transcript, 1572 nt
Organism: Asparagus officinalis (garden asparagus)
Lineage: Eukaryota; Viridiplantae; Streptophyta; Magnoliopsida; Asparagales; Asparagaceae
Gene name: auxin efflux carrier component 7-like
Exons: 7
Source: RefSeq, a predicted model, not a curated record